This 388-nucleotide long non-coding RNA is filed under the name Phaseolus vulgaris (common bean). RNAcentral describes it as "long non-coding RNA (PVUL_LNC003764)". Lineage: Eukaryota; Viridiplantae; Streptophyta; Magnoliopsida; Fabales; Fabaceae. The record is from RNAcentral.
AUAAAAUAUAUUUUUUUUUCAUCAUUAUUUUAGUUUGUUUUCAAUAUAUAUAAUUAAAAAUACGUCAUAAUUCCAUUAUAUUAUGACAAAAAUAUGGUUAAAUAACAAUAUAUAUCAAUCAUACACAAAUUAUGAGAACCUUAAAAGGUUAGAAGGAUAUUGAUGAACUCGAGAAGGUGAGGAGAACUCAAAAAUCCAUGAAAGAUAAGAUAUCAAUGGUGGAAGUAAAGGAAAAAAUCCAUGGUGACUUCGACAUUCAACAAAAAUCGAAGAACAAAUUGUAAGAAAUGGAUUAAGGCAAAAUAUGGAAGGAGAACAUCUCACCUCAAAGAAUAAAUGUAUGGAGAUUCAUCACUUGAGAAAACUUCUCAGAAUAAGAACCAAAGCA